ACUCAAAGGAAUUGACGGGGACCCGCACAAGCGGUGGAGCAUGUUGUUUAAUUCGAUGAUACACGAGGAACCUUACCUGCCCUUGACAUGUACAUUAUACUUUCUGGAAACAGAUCGUUUCGGUUCGGCCGGGUGUACACAGGUGUUGCAUGGCCGUCGUCAGCUCGUGUCGUGAGAUGUUGGGUUAAGUCCCGCAACGAGCGCAACCCCUAUUGUUAGUUGCCAGCAUUAAGUUGGGCACUCUAACGAGACUGCCGAUGAUAAAUCGGAGGAAGGUGGGGAUGACGUCAGGUCAUCAUGGCCCUUACGGGCAGGGCUACAAACGUGCUACAAUGGCGACUACAAAGGGCUGCGAUCUCGUGAGAGCUAGCCAAUCCCUAAAAGUCGUCUCAGUUCAGAUUGCAGGCUGCAACUCGCCUGCAUGAAGUUGGAAUCGCUAGUAAUCGUGAAUCAGCUAUGUCACGGUGAAUACGUUCCCGGGUCUUGCACACACCGCCCGU
This 500-nucleotide ribosomal RNA is filed under the name uncultured bacterium. RNAcentral's name for it is "partial 16S ribosomal RNA". It matches the Rfam family "Bacterial small subunit ribosomal RNA", at positions 899 to 1397 of the family's 1533-position model. The record is from RNAcentral.